Molecule: transfer RNA, 72 nt
Filed under: Schistocerca americana (American grasshopper)
Lineage: Eukaryota; Metazoa; Arthropoda; Insecta; Orthoptera; Acrididae
Description: tRNA-Pro
Rfam family: tRNA
About the family: Transfer RNA (tRNA) molecules are approximately 80 nucleotides in length. Their secondary structure includes four short double-helical elements and three loops (D, anti-codon, and T loops).
Source: RNAcentral
GGAUCGUUGGUCUAGGGGUAUGAUUCCUGCUUCGGGUGCAGGAGGUCCCGGGUUUAAAUCCCGGACGAGCCC